This 91-nucleotide ribosomal RNA is filed under the name Trichoderma inhamatum. RNAcentral's name for it is "28S ribosomal RNA". The record is from RNAcentral. Lineage: Eukaryota; Fungi; Ascomycota; Sordariomycetes; Hypocreales; Hypocreaceae.
GUAACCCUGGGGAUUAAGGGUCAGGAAAACCCCGCUAAAAUUUAACCUUUAAUUAAACCGGGGGAAUUUCUACUAUAUGUAAUUGAAUACA